Chiloscyllium plagiosum (whitespotted bambooshark) is the source of this 967-nucleotide non-coding RNA. The record is from RefSeq and is a predicted model, not a curated record. Lineage: Eukaryota; Metazoa; Chordata; Chondrichthyes; Orectolobiformes; Hemiscylliidae.
AUUGUACUCCAUCUGGGAUUGGACUGCCUGAGAAUUGCAGGGUCACAGUUCGUCUUACAGCCUAUACAGGAAUCCCCUAAACCUGGCUGAUCAAUCAGGUGGUAAACAAGACAACACAUUACUACCAUUUUAUUUUCCUUAGCUAAGAAUUUGUAGAUGGGUUUCCAGUCUAAUGUCUUGCCCCUCCCUCUCCAUGUCUCUAUGAACAAUGCCUAUUAAUAUCCAGAGUACAUUUUUUUGAUCUAUAACACCACCCCACUGCUCCAAAUACAUAGCAAAUAAAUAAAUUCUACAAAAAAACUGCAGUUAUAUUCAUUAAAUGAAAUGGAUAUAUUAAAAUGGACUGAAAAGUAUAAGAAUGACAGCACAUGAGAAUAUAAACAAGUUAUUUGUAAUUGCAUACACAUAACCAUACAUUUCUACCAUUUUAUUUUCCUUUGCAAAGAGUUUGUAGAUCAAUAAAGAUAGCAGUUUAAAAAUAAUCACGCAAUUCUCAUUGUACAAUUGACAUAAUUAUAGCACUAUACUGGUUAAAUUGUACAUAAAAUGCUUUUUACGUUGAGCAUUGUCAAUCACAAAAAAAAUCAAAUUAACAUGAUUAGACAAGUUUUAAUUAUCAAAUCCAAUUACCAUAAUGGCCAUAUAUUUGCCACUGAAAUUCUUGAUCCUAUAAAGUGCUUUCGAUGGGAAAUGUUCAUAUCUUGUGAAAUAUCGCAAGACAUUCUGUAGUUCGUUAUUUUUCUGAUUGUCAUUUGUUUUACUUGGAUGAAACUAUUGUUUUAUGUGUGAUUUGAUUGACAGACAGUGCAUUUUCAUACAUCAUAAAGUGCAAAAAUAUGCUUUUCAAAACAAUAAUCAAAAUUCAACUCUCCAUCACUCUUGGCACCCAGAUUUAAUUGAUUAAUAAUCCUAUUUUUUCACAGAAUUCUAUGUAAAAUAUACAAUAAAUUAACAUAGCUUAUGAUAU